Molecule: non-coding RNA, 80 nt
Organism: Paramuricea clavata
Lineage: Eukaryota; Metazoa; Cnidaria; Anthozoa; Malacalcyonacea; Plexauridae
Source: the annotation of a GenBank genome assembly
CUCUGUAGCUCAGUUGCAUGGUUAGAGCGCUGCACCGGAAUCGCAUGCAUUGCCGCAGGUUCAAUUCCUGCAGCCAGGGA